This 303-nucleotide unclassified non-coding RNA is filed under the name Hevea brasiliensis (rubber tree). The record is from RNAcentral. Lineage: Eukaryota; Viridiplantae; Streptophyta; Magnoliopsida; Malpighiales; Euphorbiaceae.
GGAAAUUGCUGCACUUGUUCAAUCCCCAGGAAAGGUAUUGUGUCAUCGCUCAUGCAAAGUUCAUAGAUUCUCUGAAAACGAAACCUGUAUGACUUCAUCGAAUGUGAUUGAAACCUUUCCUUUACUUCAGCAAGUACAGAUCUGACCGAUGUCAAUUUUGAGUAUUCUGCACCAGAUAGGAACUCCACAGAUGAAUUCUCCAGGAGAUAAAGCUGACCGAAUGGUACAUACAACGGUAAGUAAGGCAUGCGACGCCAACCCCUCUUGUCCCCAUUGUUGACAUUACUUUCAGCUACAGAUUUU